GAUGAACGCUGGCUACAGGCUUAACACAUGCAAGUCGAGGGGAAACGGCAUUGAGUGCUUGCACUGAAUGGACGUCGACCGGCGCACGGGUGAGUAACGCGUAUCCAACCUUCCCGUUACUGCGGGAUAACCUGCCGAAAGGCAGACUAAUACCGCAUGUUCUUCGAUGACGGCAUCAGAUUCGAAGCAAAGAUCCGUCGGUAACGGAGGGGGAUGCGUCUGAUUAGCUAGUUGGCGGGGCGACGGCCCACCAAGGCGACGAUCAGUAGGGGUUCUGAGAGGAAGGUCCCCCACAUUGGAACUGAGACACGGUCCAAACUCCUACGGGAGGCAGCAGUGAGGAAUAUUGGUCAAUGGGCGGAAGCCUGAACCAGCCAAGUAGCGUGCAGGAUGACGGCCCUACGGGUUGUAAACUGCUUUUAUGCGGGGAUAAAGUGAGGGACGCGUCCCUUUUUGCAGGUACCGCAUGAAUAAGGACCGGCUAAUUCCGUGCCAGCAGCCGCGGUAAUACGGAAGGUCCGGGCGUUAUCCGGAUUUAUUGGGUUUAAAGGGAGCGUAGGCCGGGGAUUAAGUGUGUUGUGAAAUGUAGGCGCCCAACGUCUGACUUGCAGCGCAUACUGGUUCCCUUGAGUACGCGCAACGCCGGCGGAAUUCGUCGUGUAGCGAUGAAAUGCUUAGAUAUGACGAAGAACCCCGAUUGCGAAGGCAGCCGGCGGGAGCGCAACUGACGCUGAAGCUCGAAGGUGCGGGUAUCGAACAGG
RNAcentral lists this ribosomal RNA (761 nucleotides) under uncultured Prevotella sp. RNAcentral describes it as "bacterial SSU rRNA". It matches the Rfam family "Bacterial small subunit ribosomal RNA", at positions 28 to 776 of the family's 1533-position model. Lineage: Bacteria; Pseudomonadati; Bacteroidota; Bacteroidia; Bacteroidales; Prevotellaceae. The record is from RNAcentral.